AUUUACAAUCUCAUAUUAAUCAGCAGUGAAAUAUAUUAUUUAUCUACAAUAAACCUUGUAAGUCGAUUAAACGUAAACAAAUAGAAAUAUCAAACCAAUCACAGUCGACACAAACUUUUCCAUAAAUCCUCAACUGCACUUCUAUAAAUAUUAUUUUCCAUUAAGAUCAUAGAUGGUGUAAAUCCAAACAGUAUUUCUCCUGAUUUUGUGUCCCACGUUGCCUUCAGUCUGUUGAGAGCAGAGAAAUCAUUUCCAUAGAGAGGAGGCUUUGCAUCGUCAGCUGAUCCUCCAGUGAACUGAGAAGGUUUAUAGUCCUGUGAGUUCAACACUGCAGGACUCAGAUCUGUCAGUCAACACAGCAGAAAGCACAACUACCAUGACUCUCAUCACCAUCCUCAUCUGGACGCUGGCCUGCUGCUGUUUUACAGGAUGCAGCGGUCAGGUGACUGUGACUCAACCUCCAGUAGUGACAUCUACUCCAGGAUCCACUGUCACUCUGACCUGUAAAACCAACCCGGCUGUUUAUAGAGAUAGUGAUGGAGAUGAUGCUAUGUCCUGGUAUCAACAGAAAUCUGGACAGACUCCAAAACCCCUAAUAAGAUAUGCAAGCAAACGUGAAUCAGGAACACCAGCUCGGUUUAGUGGCAGUGGAAGCAGCUCUGACUUCACUUUGACCAUCAGUGGAGUUCAGACUGAAGAUGCAGCAGUUUACUACUGUCAGAGUCUCCAUAAUGUAGGCAGUGACUGGCCGUUCACACAGUGAUUUAUAGUCGUACAAAAACCUCCCUCAGUCAGACUGCAGAGACACUGAGCUGUUACAGCAGGAACCGACUGCAGCUGCUGAAGAGGAAGAGACUCUGACACAGACCACUGAACACAGAGCUGACAGUAACCUCACCAAGCACAAACCUUAAUGCCAUCUUUACUUAUCUUUUCAAACUCAGAUUUUUACAAUUUUCAGUUAUGAGCAGAGACUAUUUUCACAGUUUUCAUUGCUGCAUCAUCACCAUGACCUUGAUUUAGAGCAAUAGGUCAUCCAGCUGCAACAAUGUUGUUUAUGCCCCAA
Thunnus maccoyii (southern bluefin tuna) is the source of this 1066-nucleotide non-coding RNA. Lineage: Eukaryota; Metazoa; Chordata; Actinopteri; Scombriformes; Scombridae. The record is from the annotation of a RefSeq genome assembly.